AACCCGGCGAAAGUCGGACUAAUACCGCAUGAAGCAGGGGCCCCGCCAUGGGGAUAUUUGCUAAAGAUUCAUCGCUGAUAGAUAGGCAUGCGUUCCAUUAGGCAGUUGGCGGGGUAACGGCCCACCAAACCGACGAUGGAUAGGGGUUCUGAGAGGAAGGUCCCCCACAUUGGAACUGAGACACGGUCCAAACUCCUACGGGAGGCAGCAUG
This 212-nucleotide ribosomal RNA is filed under the name uncultured bacterium. Its description in RNAcentral is "partial 16S ribosomal RNA". It matches the Rfam family "Bacterial small subunit ribosomal RNA", at positions 145 to 353 of the family's 1533-position model. The record is from RNAcentral.